GAUGAACGCUGGCGGCGUGCCUAAUACAUGCAAGUCGAGCGAACAGACGAGGAGCUUGCUCCUCUGACGUUAGCGGCGGACGGGUGAGUAACACGUGGAUAACCUACCUAUAAGACUGGGAUAACUUCGGGAAACCGGAGCUAAUACCGGAUAAUAUAUUGAACCGCAUGGUUCAAUAGUGAAAGACGGUUUUGCUGUCACUUAUAGAUGUAUCCGCGCCGCAUUAGCUAGUUGGUAAGGUAACGGCUUACCAAGGCAACGAUGCGUAGCAGACCUGAGAGGGUGAUCGGCCACACUAGAACUGAGACACGGUCCAGACUCCUACGGGAGGCAACAGUAGGGAAUCUUCCGCAAUGGGCGAAAGCCUGACGGAGCAACGAAGCGUGAGUGAUGAAGGUCUUCGGAUCGUAAAACUCUGUUAUGAGGGAAGAACAAAUGUGUAAGUAACUAGGCACGUCUUGACGGUACCAAAUCAGAAAGCCACGGCUAACUACGUG
Molecule: ribosomal RNA, 497 nt
Filed under: uncultured bacterium
Lineage: Bacteria
Description: partial 16S ribosomal RNA
Rfam family: Bacterial small subunit ribosomal RNA
Source: RNAcentral